This 526-nucleotide ribosomal RNA is filed under the name Cryptosporella marylandica. Its description in RNAcentral is "eukaryotic LSU rRNA". The stretch from base 198 to 351 matches the Rfam family "5.8S ribosomal RNA". Lineage: Eukaryota; Fungi; Ascomycota; Sordariomycetes; Diaporthales; Gnomoniaceae. The record is from RNAcentral.
UCAUUGCUGGAACAAACGCCCUCACGGGUGCUACCCAGAAACCCUUUGUGAAUCAUACCUAAAAAAAAACUGUUGCCUCGGCUUUUUGGUUGGCUUCCUUGGAAGUCCCUUCGCAAGAAGGAGCAGACCGGCCGGUGGCCCUAUAAACUCUUGUUUUUGUAACGUCAUCUGAGUAAAAAAACAACUAAAUGAAUCAAAACUUUCAACAACGGAUCUCUUGGUUCUGGCAUCGAUGAAGAACGCAGCGAAAUGCGAUAAGUAAUGUGAAUUGCAGAAUUCAGUGAAUCAUCGAAUCUUUGAACGCACAUUGCGCCCGGUGGUAUUCCACCGGGCAUGCCUGUUCGAGCGUCAUUUCAACCCUCAAAGCCCCUAAGCUUUGGUGUUGGAGGAAUACCUGUAAAAGGGUACCCUCUGAAAUUUAGUGGCGGGCUCGCUAGAAUUUUGAGCGUAGUAAUUUUACCUCGUUUUUAAAAGACUAGUGGGACUUUCUAGCCAUAAAACCCCCCAACUUUCUGAAAAUUGACCU